ACCAUGGCGCAGUGGCAAUAUCGUAACCAAUGAAGGUCACCUGAGGUGCGAUUAUUGCUAGUUGAAAAACUUUUACCAUUGUAAUAAUAAUAUAAAUAUAUUAUAUAAAAUCUAAAAAAAAAGAAG
This is a non-coding RNA of Rhodnius prolixus, 126 nucleotides long. NCBI's taxonomy places the organism in Eukaryota, Metazoa, Arthropoda, Insecta, Hemiptera, Reduviidae. The record is from Rfam.